RNAcentral lists this ribosomal RNA (524 nucleotides) under Tetraclita squamosa. RNAcentral describes it as "partial 16S ribosomal RNA". It matches the Rfam family "Bacterial large subunit ribosomal RNA", at positions 1821 to 2618 of the family's 2925-position model. Lineage: Eukaryota; Metazoa; Arthropoda; Thecostraca; Balanomorpha; Tetraclitidae. The record is from RNAcentral.
UUCCUCUCGAAAGGGGGAGGUAAGGCCUGCUCACUGAAUUUUAAAGAGCCGCAGUAUCUUGACUGUGCUAAGGUAGCAUAAUCAUUAGUCUUUUAAUUGAAGACUGGUAUGAAUGGCUAAACGAGAAAUCGACUUUUUUUGUUAUAAAGAUUGAACUUAAUUUUUUAGUGAAAAAGCUAAAAUUUUUCAGAAAGACGAGAAGACCCUAUAGAGUUUUAUAUCUCGGAAAAUUUUUUCUUAAUGGAUUUUUUUGGAUAAAAUUUUUUUGUGGUAUUUUGUUGGGGCGACAUUUAGAUACGAGAAACUCUUUAUGAGAAAAACUUUUUUGAAAGAAUUGAUUGAUCCUCUAAAAAAGAUCAUAAGAAAAAAUUACCUUAGGGAUAACAGCGUAAUCUUUUUUGAGAGUUCUAAUCGACAAAAAGGUUUGCGACCUCGAUGUUGGACUAAAAUUUAGACAGGGUGCAGUAGUUCUGUUUUUGGGUCUGUUCGACCCGUAAUAUUUUACACGAUCUGAGUUCAGACCG